This 429-nucleotide ribosomal RNA is filed under the name uncultured bacterium. Its description in RNAcentral is "bacterial SSU rRNA". It matches the Rfam family "Bacterial small subunit ribosomal RNA", at positions 355 to 796 of the family's 1533-position model. The record is from RNAcentral.
UGGGGAAUAUUGCACAAUGGGCGGAAGCCUGAUGCAGCGACGCCGCGUGCGGGAUGAAGGCCUUCGGGUUGUAAACCGCUUUCACCACAGACGAAGCGCAAGUGACGGUAUGUGGGGAAGAAGCGCCGGCUAACUACGUGCCAGCAGCCGCGGUAAUACGUAGGGCGCGAGCGUUGUCCGGAUUUAUUGGGCGUAAAGAGCUCGUAGGCGGCCUGUUGCGUCUGCUGUGAAAUCCCGGGGCUUAACCCCGGGCGUGCAGUGGAUACGGGCAGGCUGGAGGCAGGCAGGGGAGAACGGAAUUCCCGGUGUAGCGGUGAAAUGCGCAGAUAUCGGGAGGAACACCGGUGGCGAAGGCGGUUCUCUGGGCCUGUUCUGACGCUGAGGAGCGAAAGCGUGGGGAGCGAACAGGAUUAGAUACCCCCGUAGUCC